UCCCAAGAGCACACCCUAAGAAUGUCCUGUAUACUCAUCUCUGUCUCAGAGUUGGCUUCUUGGGCAAUCCAAGCUGUAAUAUUGAUGAAAUUGUGUGGGUGUCAUGUGUUCUGUCCCAAAUAUGGAAGAGAUUUGGGGACUGACUGGGGCAGACGAUUUCAUGCAGCCCUUUCAUGCAUUCUGGAUCACCUAUGUUUAUUUGCUCCUGCCAUUCGCGUGGCUCUAUUGUUAAGAGAAGAGAAUAUGAGAGAAGAAAAGUUAUGCUCCUUAGAGGCUUUUCCAAUUAACUGUUUGAAGAGUCUUUGAAAAAAAUGCCUAAGUAUUGCUGAAUUGAGACUGGGCGAAUUCUUGCUCGUUGCCCCCGCUUCUUUGACUCACCAGUGACAACCUCUAGAAGCUUCGAAUUAAGGAAGAUGUACCAAGUGUCUGAGACCAUUCUUAGCAGGCAAAACUUCUCAAGCUGAACAAUUUUAAAGGGUCUCAUUAGAGAAUGAGAAGAUAACUAGUGCAAGAGGAAAUUUAAAGAAUGUUCAGUUGGAUGAGCUUGUUUGGGGAGGGGGGAAUUCCUACUAUAUUAAAGCCACAGAACUAUAGAAAUUUUGGAUUUCUUUGCUUUUAAAUCUCCAGAAGGCAAAAAUCAAAACCCAGUUAUAGAUGUUACAGCCCACAAAUACUAGAAUAGUUUUCUUUUUUUCAAAUUUUAAAAAAGGAUUUGAAAAUUCAUAUGGAAAUACAAGGAACCCAGAAUAAUCAAAACAGUCUCGAAAAAGAAGAGCAAAGUUGGAGGACUUGUGCUUCUCAAUUGCAAAAUUUACUAAAAAGCACCAGUAAUCAGGCCAGUGCGGUCCCAGGAGAAGAACUAACAUAUUGACCAAUGGACCAAAAAUGAGAGUCCAGAAGUAAACCUACAGAUCUGUGGCCAGCUGAUAUAUGAUUAAAGUGCCAAGAUCAUUUAAUGGAGAAAAAAUAGACUUUUCAACAAAUGGUGCUGGUACACGCAAAGAAGUGAGGUUGGAUCUCUACCUUACACUGUAUACAAAAUUAACCAAAAAUGGAUCAAAAGCCUAAAUGUAAAAGCUAAAACAAUAAGCCUCUUAGAAGAAGACAUGGAGUCUUUGUGACCUUGGAUUUGGCAAUGGAUUUUUAGAAAAGACACUGAAAACACAAACAACAAAAGAAAAAAUAGAUAAAUUGGACUUCUCUAACACUGAAAACUUAUUUUUCAAAGUACACUAUUGAGAAAGUGAAAAGGCAACCCACAGAAUGGGAGAAAAUAUUUCCAAAUCAUAGAUUUGAUGAGAGACUUGUAUGUAGAAUACAUCAAGAAUUCUGGCAAUUCAGUACGAGGUAAGUCAGAUUUAAAAACGGGCCAAAGACAUGAGUAGACAUCCUUCUAAAGAAGAGAACUGAAAGACCAAAAACUGUAAGAAAAAAUGCUAAACAUCAUUAGCUAUCAGGGAAAUGCAAAUCAACACCAGAAUGAGAUAUUAUGUCACACUCUCUAUAAUAAAAAAGAGACAAUAACCAGUAUCAUCGGGAUGUGGAUAAAUUGGGACCCUCAUACAUCGUAAUGUGAGGUGUUGCAGUCAUUUUGGAAAACAGUAUCUACUGGUUCCUCAAAGGAUAGAACACAGAGAUAUCAUAUACAGUAGAGCCCAGCAAUUUCACUCAUAGACACACACUCAGAAGUGAAAACAUACGUCCACACAAAAACUUGCACAUGAAAUGGUCAUAGAAACAUUACCUAUAAUAAUUAAAAGGUAGAAAUAAACUAAAUGUCCAUCAACUGAUGAAUGGAUGAAUAAAAUGUGUUACGUUCAUAUAAUGGAAAGUUAUUUGGCCAUAAAAAGGAAUGAAGUACUGACAGAUGCUAUAGGAUGGAUGAACUCUGAAAACAUUAUAUUAAGAAAAGAAGAAAAGAAGCCCAUCAUAAAAGUCUGCAUAAUAUAUGAUUUCAUUUUUAUGAAAUAUCAAGGAUAUCAGAAAGUAGAGACAGGAAGUAGAUCAGUGAUUGUCUAAUGCCCUUGACAGGGACCCCGGGGCGUGAUAGCUAAAGGAUAUGGGGUUUCUUUUUGGGGUGAUAAAAUGUUCGGAGAUUGUGGUGAUAAUCAUACAUAACUCUGAAUAUAGUAAAAACUAUGGAGUUGUAUACUUUAAAUGUCUGAAUUGUGUGGCAUGUGACUAUAGCUCAGUAUAUUAUAGCUACUCACAAAAAUUAGAAUCUCCAAUAAUUAAAAAAGAGUUGGAGAAUUUUCAAGUUGUGGAAGGUGACUGUUCUCCAAAGGCAAAGUUGCCACCUCCUUGAAUAAUAACUUCUAAAACUCGAUUGCUGUAAGUAAGCAAUUAUUCCUGUUUUACAGAUGCAACAAUUGAGAUUCAGAGGGUUAAAUGACUAGCCCAAGGUCAUCCGGACAAUUCAUGGUAGAGAUGGUGAGCCAAGAUGCCCAUCAUAGGCUCUUAGUGCAGAGUUCUGUCCUAUCACUCUCCCCAGAGAGUACCGUUCCGAGUCCCUUGGAAGCACCAGAAAUAGGAAACAAAACUGCCCUUGCUUAUUUUCUUAUAUUGUUGCUCUGAACUGACCUAAACCAAUUUUUAACGCACAGCUCUGAAGUCCUGUUGGUAGAUGACAGAAGCUGUGGAGAUAUUUGAGACGAGUGAGAGUGAGAGUUAAUUCCUCCCUUGCAGGCUUUCUACUGGGUUAUAAUGGAAGCAGAUCUCAAGAAAAUUCUGGCCCCACAAGGAAGGUUUAUCAGUCGCAUGAGCAGGCAGGCAUACAAUAGCUCAAAUGACCUGCUCUGCAAACACAGUGACACCCCAGGCCUCUGUCCUUUUAGUUGUGUCUGUCCCCACCUGUGUGGAAGGUCUGCUUCAGGUGGCCAUGGCAAUAGUCCAGAGGCAGGAUUCUGUUCUCCUACAGUUCAGGCAACUGGAAAUCCUCUGGCCGGUAGCUGGACCUGGGGCUGUUCCGAGGUCAAGCCCCAGCCCCAUCUCAAAACUAUAGGUUGCCGCUCUAGCUGGAUUCUGAUACUCUUUACACAAGGAUGGGGAGACAAUUAAAUGUUUUAGCCAAGCUGUACUUCUUGAAUACAUUUAAUUUCACCAAUAAAACCUCACAUUCCACUUCUGAAAAAUGAUGUAUUUAAAGAGUAGUGUUGUAAAUAUGUGGAAGGUUUUGUAAUAUACUAACUAAAAAACUAUUAACUCAGUUAAUGGCUUUAAAUAAAGUCAUUUUAAAGAUUUCUAAAAUUCAUUAUGCUACCUUGCAUACCGAUUGAG
Molecule: long non-coding RNA, 3276 nt
Organism: Mustela lutreola (European mink)
Lineage: Eukaryota; Metazoa; Chordata; Mammalia; Carnivora; Mustelidae
Exons: 3
Source: RefSeq, a predicted model, not a curated record